GAGAUCAGGGUGGACAUAACGGCGACAGAUAACUGGCUGUGUGAUGGUGAUAGCGGCAGUGGCGAGUUGUCAUCAGCAGCAAUACAGUUUGGUACAUGAUGCGGGCAAAGAAGCAGAUGUCUCGCUGUGUAGUGGUGGAAGCAGCAGUGGUGCGUCAACAUAAAUGGCUGUACAGUAUGGAACAUCAUGGACAAGGCUGGAUUUGAAUAUUGAAUAAUGUCUGGCUGUGUAGUGAGAAAAGUAGAGGCCCUAGUGGUAGUAGUAACUGGUGGCAGCACAGUAUGGAACAAGACGGACAAGGUGCAGGAGAUGUCUGGCUGUGUGAUGGUAGUAGUUGUUUGCAGUACAGUAUAGAACUUGAUGGACAAGGUGCAGAAGAUGUCUGGCCUUGCAGUUGUAGUAUCAGUUAGUGGCAGCAGUGACAGUGUGGAAAAUGACGGACAAGGUGCAGGAGAUGUCUGGCUGUGUGGUGGUAGUAGUAACUGGUGGCAGUAGAGUAUGGAACAUGACAGACAAGGUGCAGGAGAUGUCUGGCUGUGUGAUAGUAGCAGUUGGUGGCAGCACAGUAUGGAACAUGAUGGACAAGAUGCAGGAGAUGUCUGGCCUUGCAGUUGUAGUAGCAGUUGGUGGCAGCACAGUAUGGAACAUGACGGACAAAGUGCAGGAGAUGUCUGGCUGUGUGAUGGUAGCAGUUGGUGGCAGCACAGUAUGGAACAUGACGGACAAGGUGCAGAAGAUGUCUGGCCUUGCAGUUGUAGUAGCAGUUGGUGGCAGCAGUGACAGUGUGGAACAUGACGGACAAGGUGCAGGAGAUGUAUGGCUGUGUGAUGGUAGCAGUUGGUUGCAGCACAGUAUGGAACAUGACGGACAAGGUGCAGAAGAUGUCUGGCCUUGCAGUUGUAGUAUCAGUUGGUGGCAGCACUGACUGUGUGGAACAUUAUUGACAAGGUGCAGGAGAUGUCUGGCUGUGUGGUGGUAGUAGUAACUGGUGGCGGUAGAGUAUGGAACAUGACGGACAAGGUGCAGGAGAUGUCUGGCUGUGUGAUGGUAGUAGUAACUGGUGGCAGUAGAGUAUGGAACAUGACGGACAAGGUGCAGGAGAUGUCUGGCUGUGUGAUGGUAGCAGUUGGUGGCAGCAGUGACAGUGUGGAACAUGAUGGACAAGGUGCAGGAGAUGUCUGGCUGUGUGGUGGUAGUAGUAACUGGUGGCAGUAGAGUAUGGAACAUGACAGACAAGGUGCAGGAGAUGUCUGGCUGUGUGAUGGUAGCAGUUGGUGGCAGCACAGUAUGGAACAUGACGGACAAGGUGCAGGAGAUGUCUGGCCUUGCAGUUGUAGUAGCAGUUGGUGGCAGCACAGUAUGGAACAUGACGGACAAAGUGCAGGACAUGUCUGGCUGUGUGAUGGUAGCAGUUGGUGGCAGCACAGUAUGGAACAUGACGGACAAGGUGCAGAAGAUGUCUGGCUGUGUGAUGGUAGCAGUUGGUGGCAGCAGAGUAUGGAACCUGACGGACAAGGUGCAGGAGAUGUCGGGCUGUGUGAUGGUAGCAGUUGGUGGCAGCACAGUAUGGAACAUGACGGACAAGGUGCAGGAGAUGUCUGGCCUUGCAGUUGUAGUAGCAGUUGGUGGCAGCAGUGACAGUGUGGAACAUGAUGGACAAGGUGCAGGAGAUGUCUGGCCUUGCAGUUGUAGUAGCAGUUGGUGGCAGCAGUAACAGUGUGGAACAUGACGGAUACGGAGCAGGAGAUGUCGGGCUGUGAGGUGGUAGUAAUAACUGGUGGCAGUAGAGUAUGGAACAUGACGGACAAGGUGCAGGAGAUGUCUGGCCUUGCAGUUGUAGUAGCAGUUGGUGGCAGCAGUGACAGUGUGAAACAUGACGGACAAGGUGCAGGAGAUGUCGGGCUGUGUGAUGGUAGCAGUUGGUAGCAGCACAGUAUGGAACAUGACGGACAAGGAGCAGGAGAUGUCUGGCCUUGCAGUUGUAGUAGCAGUUGGUGGCAGCAGUGACAGUGUGGAACAUGAUGGACAAGGUGCAGGAGAUGUCUGGCCUUGCAGUUGUAGUAGCAGUUGGUGGCAGCAGUAACAGUGUGGAACAUGACGGAUACGGAGCAGGAGAUGUCGGGCUGUGAGGUGGUAGUAAUAACUGGUGGCAGUAGAGUAUGGAACAUGACGGACAAGGUGCAGGAGAUGUCUGGCCUUGCAGUUGUAGUAGCAGUUGGUGGCAGCAGUGACAGUGUGAAACAUGACGGACAAGGUGCAGGAGAUGUCGGGCUGUGGUGGGUUUGCAGUGGCGGCAGCACAGUAUGGAACAUGACGGACAAGGAGCAGGAGAUGUCGGGCUGUGUGAUGGUAGCAGUUGGUAGCAGCACAGUAUGGAACAUGACGGACAAGGAGCAGGAGAUGUCUGGCUGUGGUGGGUUUGCAGUGGCGGCAGCACAGUAUGGAACAUGACGGACAAGGAGCAGGAGAUGACGUCUGGCUGUGGUGGGUUUGCAGUGGCGGCAGGAGCAGACAUGUUACUAGUGGACGAACCUAGAACAUUUUCAUUUGCCAAACAUUUGCUAACCAAACCUACAGGUGAAUCUCGAAAAAUUAGAAUAUCGGGCAAAAGUCCAUUUAUUUUAGUAAUGCAAAUUAAAAGGAAUUGCAUUAAUGCAGCUUAAAAUUAGAAUUUUGUGAAAAGGUUUAAUUAAGUGUCAGACUCUAGUCAGCUAAUUCAUAUCCCCUGACCAAAGGCGACCUGGGAUUGUGAUUUUGGGGGUUUUAAAGGCUAUAAGCCAUAAUCAUCCAAAU
Bufo bufo (common toad) is the source of this 2793-nucleotide RNA transcript. RefSeq lists it as uncharacterized. NCBI's taxonomy places the organism in Eukaryota, Metazoa, Chordata, Amphibia, Anura, Bufonidae. The record is from RefSeq and is a predicted model, not a curated record. The transcript is spliced from 4 exons.